CCCCGGUAAACGGCGGCCGUAACUAUAACGGUCCUAAGGUAGCGAAAUUCCUUGUCGGGUAAGUUCCGACCUGCACGAAUGGCGUAAUGAUGGCCAGGCUGUCUCCACCCGAGACUCAGUGAAAUUGAACUCGCUGUGAAGAUGCAGUGUACCCGCGGCAAGACGGAAAGACCCCGUGAACCUUUACUAUAGCUUGACACUGAACAUUGAGCCUUGAUGUGUAGGAUAGGUGGGAGGCUUUGAAGUGUGGACGCCAGUCUGCAUGGAGCCGACCUUGAAAUACCACCCUUUAAUGUUUGAUGUUCUAACGUGGACCCGUAAUCCGGGUUGCGGACAGUGUCUGGUGGGUAGUUUGACUGGGGCGGUCUCCUCCUAAAGAGUAACGGAGGAGCACGAAGGUUGGCUAAUCCUGGUCGGACAUCAGGAGGUUAGUGCAAUGGCAUAAGCCAGCUUGACUGCGAGCGUGACGGCGCGAGCAGGUGCGAAAGCAGGUCAUAGUGAUCCGGUGGUUCUGAAUGGAAGGGCCAUCGCUCAACGGAUAAAAGG
This 546-nucleotide ribosomal RNA is filed under the name Salmonella enterica. Its description in RNAcentral is "partial 23S ribosomal RNA". It matches the Rfam family "Bacterial large subunit ribosomal RNA", at positions 1918 to 2463 of the family's 2925-position model. Lineage: Bacteria; Pseudomonadati; Pseudomonadota; Gammaproteobacteria; Enterobacterales; Enterobacteriaceae. The record is from RNAcentral.